Molecule: non-coding RNA, 453 nt
Organism: Camellia sinensis
Lineage: Eukaryota; Viridiplantae; Streptophyta; Magnoliopsida; Ericales; Theaceae
Source: RefSeq, a predicted model, not a curated record
ACAAAACCGAGAGGUAGAGAGAGAGAGACCAACUCUAUAUGCUGAAAUGGUGAAGGAAAAGCAAGGGAAAGCUUGGGAAAAGUGGAGAGUUGAAGAGAGGCUCAAAGCUCAACAAGAAAUUCAACAAAUCAAGACUCCAAGUAAGGUGGGCAUCCAAGGCCUUAUAUCGACUUAAUCCACUGUGGUCAGGCAUCGGAGCAAAGUUAGCAGCGUCAGCCUAAUUUCGUUUUGUCAAGCCAACCUACUGUGCCUCACCACGAGAUUCCAAACCGUUAUUGUCAAGGCUUUGUUUUGGGUGGCCUAAAUCCACCUCUUUUGAAUGAAUGCCAUAUGGAGUCAAGUGAAUAUUUCAUAAGCUAUUUUGGCUUUGGGAUUUAAUUCUCCAACAUGUCUUUUAUUUUGUACUUAGACGUGUUUUGGACUUCAGUUUUUACAUAUAUAGUGAAUAUGGAC